AUUGAACGCUGGCGGCAUGCUUUACACAUGCAAGUCGAACGGUAACAGGCCGCAAGGUGCUGACGAGUGGCGAACGGGUGAGUAAUGCAUCGGAACGUGCCCAGUCGUGGGGGAUAACGCAGCGAAAGCUGUGCUAAUACCGCAUACGAUCUAUGGAUGAAAGCGGGGGACCGUAAGGCCUCGCGCGAUUGGAGCGGCCGAUGUCAGAUUAGGUAGUUGGUGGGGUAAAGGCCUACCAAGCCGACGAUCUGUAGCUGGUCCGAGAGGACGACCAGCCACACUGGGACUGAGACACGGCCCAGACUCCUACGGGAGGCAGCAGUGGGGAAUUUUGGACAAUGGGCGCAAGCCUGAUCCAGCAAUGCCGCGUGCAGGAAGAAGGCCUUCGGGUUGUAAACUGCUUUUGUACGGAACGAAACGGUCUGGUUAAUACCCUGGGCUAACGACGGUACCGUAAGAAUAAGCACCGGCUAACUACGUGCCAGCCGCCGCGGUAA
Molecule: ribosomal RNA, 497 nt
Filed under: uncultured bacterium
Lineage: Bacteria
Description: partial 16S ribosomal RNA
Rfam family: Bacterial small subunit ribosomal RNA
Source: RNAcentral